CUUGUGGCCACUGUUGGUCCUGUACACAGAGUAUUAAAGCUGCAGCAGUCAGGCGGGUGCCCAAAGGUGUUUUCGCUGUGCUCUGGAGUUAGUGAAUGACUGGUAGUUUGGGCACCUGUGUCUUGCUGUAGAUGUGGAAAGCAGCUCUGCGUGAUGACAUGAAUACCAGUGGAGACCCACUCACUCAGGAUAUGUUUGGUGCUCUAAGCGAAAGAAAGACAUGAGGCCUCAGCUGAAAUGAGGUGCUUGUGAGGUCAUCCGAUUUCUGGCUAGACGUGUGCGGUCCACGCCUCCUGAAUCCACUUCACACACAAUGGUUUGAAAUUUUUUUUUGGUGAUGGCAUGCUCAGAAUCUUGGAGCCCUAAGUUGAAUAUAUUGGAAAUUUAGGAACCUUGGAAAUUAUGUUUUCUCACAUACAAAUAAUAACUUGCUAGGUGAACUAGCAGAUUUAAUAAAAGUAUGAAAAA
This is a long non-coding RNA of Dipodomys ordii (Ord's kangaroo rat), 468 nucleotides long. RefSeq lists it as uncharacterized. Lineage: Eukaryota; Metazoa; Chordata; Mammalia; Rodentia; Heteromyidae. The transcript has 3 exons. The record is from RefSeq and is a predicted model, not a curated record.